Molecule: non-coding RNA, 394 nt
Filed under: Lodderomyces elongisporus NRRL YB-4239
Lineage: Eukaryota; Fungi; Ascomycota; Pichiomycetes; Serinales; Debaryomycetaceae
Description: Eukaryotic large subunit ribosomal RNA
Rfam family: Eukaryotic large subunit ribosomal RNA
Source: Rfam by way of RNAcentral
AACAACGCUAAUAGUAAUUGAACUUAGUACGAGAGGAACCGUUCAUUCAGAUAAUUGGUUUUUGCGGCUGUCUGAUCAGGCAACGCCGCGAAGCUACCAUCUGCUGGAUUAUGGCUGAACGCCUCUAAGUCAGAAUCCAUGCUAGAAAGCGAUGAUUUUUGCCCUGCACAUUUUAGAUGGAUACGAAUAAGACUUUUAAUAGUCGCUGGACCAUAGCAGGCUGGCAGCGGUGCACUUAGCGGAAAGGCUUUGUGUGCUUGCCGGCGAAUAGCAAUGUCAACAUGCGCGGGGAUAAAUCCUUUGCAUACGACUUAGAUGUACAACGGAGUAUUGUAAGCAGUAGAGUAGCCUUGUUGUUACGAUCUGCUGAGAUUAAGCUUCAGUUGUCUGAUUU